This 692-nucleotide ribosomal RNA is filed under the name Psychrobacter glacincola. RNAcentral describes it as "bacterial SSU rRNA". It matches the Rfam family "Bacterial small subunit ribosomal RNA", at positions 91 to 780 of the family's 1533-position model. The record is from RNAcentral. Lineage: Bacteria; Pseudomonadati; Pseudomonadota; Gammaproteobacteria; Moraxellales; Moraxellaceae.
UCGAGCGGCGGACGGGUGAGUAAUACUUAGGAAUCUACCUAGUAGUGGGGGAUAGCACGGGGAAACUCGUAUUAAUACCGCAUACGACCUACGGGAGAAAGGGGGCAGUUUACUGCUCUCGCUAUUAGAUGAGCCUAAGUCGGAUUAGCUAGAUGGUGGGGUAAAGGCCUACCAUGGCGACGAUCUGUAGCUGGUCUGAGAGGAUGAUCAGCCACACCGGGACUGAGACACGGCCCGGACUCCUACGGGAGGCAGCAGUGGGGAAUAUUGGACAAUGGGGGAAACCCUGAUCCAGCCAUGCCGCGUGUGUGAAGAAGGCCUUUUGGUUGUAAAGCACUUUAAGCAGUGAAGAAGACUCUUCGGUUAAUACCCGGAGACGAUGACAUUAGCUGCAGAAUAAGCACCGGCUAACUCUGUGCCAGCAGCCGCGGUAAUACAGAGGGUGCAAGCGUUAAUCGGAAUUACUGGGCGUAAAGCGAGCGUAGGUGGCUUGAUAAGUCAGAUGUGAAAUCCCCGGGCUUAACCUGGGAACUGCAUCUGAAACUGUUAGGCUAGAGUAGGUGAGAGGGAAGUAGAAUUUCAGGUGUACCGGUGAAAUGCGUAGAGAUCUGAAGGAAUACCGAUGGCGAAGGCAGCUUCCUGGCAUCAUACUGACACUGAAGGCUCGAAAGCGUGGGUAGCAAACAGGAUUA